Molecule: RNA transcript, 637 nt
Organism: Solenopsis invicta (red fire ant)
Lineage: Eukaryota; Metazoa; Arthropoda; Insecta; Hymenoptera; Formicidae
Gene name: E3 ubiquitin-protein ligase HUWE1-like
Exons: 3
Source: RefSeq, a predicted model, not a curated record
UCUAGGUGAAUUAAUUUGGCGUCAACAAUGUGCGAAAUUUAAUACCAAAUGGACGUAAUACAGUUAUUGUUAUGGAAAAGACCAAACUUGAAUAUAUUAGGCUCAUGUGUCAAAUGAAAAUGACUGGAGCAAUUUGUAAGCAGUCUAUUCUUGGAAGGAUUUUAUGAUAUUAUGCUUAAACGACCAAUUUUCAUAUUUAAUGAACAAGAACUUGAACUAUUGAUCGGUGGCUUGCUUACUGUAAAUAUCUUAAAGGAGGAUCUUAAAGCAAAUAUUGAGUAUCAUAAAUACACUGCUACGUCUUUAUAGUUUCAAUCAAUUGGAUUUGCCAGUGUACGAGACGUAUGAUAAACUCUGAACAAAUCUACUCAAGGCGACUUACGAAUGCACCAAAGAAUUUGGAUUUGCAUAAGCUUACCAGAAUUUGCUCCUGUACAAUUUCGAUUUCAAUCGAUACAAUUUCGCGUUCAAUCGAUGAUAUUCUAGAGACCAAACUUAUGGUUGGAUCUUUACAGCCAGUGAUAACAUUCCGGACGUGCAAUGGCCUAUUGCUUGCAAAAUUUUUAACGUACUUACAAAAUUGAUAUACACAAUGUUAUAUGUAAAACUAUCUUGUGAACGUAGCGAAUCACAGUGC